This 497-nucleotide ribosomal RNA is filed under the name uncultured bacterium. RNAcentral's name for it is "partial 16S ribosomal RNA". It matches the Rfam family "Bacterial small subunit ribosomal RNA", at positions 28 to 507 of the family's 1533-position model. The record is from RNAcentral.
GAUGAACGCUGGCGGCGUGCCUAAUACAUGCAAGUCGAGCGAACAGACGAGGAGCUUGCUCCUCUGACGUUAGCGGCGGACGGGUGAGUAACACGUGGAUAACCUACCUAUAAGACUGGGAUAACUUCGGGAAACCGGAGCUAAUACCGGAUAAUAUAUUGAACCGCAUGGUUCAAUAGUGAAAGACGGUUUUGCUGUCACUUAUAGAUGGAUCCGCGCCGCAUUAGCUAGUUGGUAAGGUAACGGCUUACCAAGGCAACGAUGCGUAGCCGACCUGAGAGGGUGGUCGGCCACACUGGAACGGAGACACGGUCCAGACUCCAACGGGAGGCAGCGGUAGGGAAUCUUCCGCAAUGGGCGAGAGCCUGACGGAGCAACGCCGCGUGAGUGAUGAAGGUCUUCGGAUCGUAAAACUCUGUUAUUAGUGAAGAACAAAUGUGUAAGUAACUAGGCACGUCUUGACGGUACCUAAUCAGAAAGCCACGGCUAACUACGUG